GCUGUGACUUCAAGCUCACUUGCCUGGUAGCUGUCAGAACAAUCUUGGAGGCUUGUUUGCAUUUGGGGGCACUACAGUUCAAAACCUACAAGGCCCUUGCACCAGCCUUUGGAAGUGAGUCUUGAAUGGACUGAAGCAGCCAGAGGAACUUGGAAACUCUAACCUGGAGAAGAGCAGACUUAACAGGGGAGCACAAAGGACUCUGAUGGAAUUCUUCAUGGAAUGAGAACCAAAGCUUGAAAAGGCCAUGGAACAAUGACCACAGGUGGAGUAGUAUAAAGAUAGAAAAAGGGAAACAAUGUUCCCCUGAGGACUGAGAGGACUAUCAUCUCCCGAUCUUAUUGCAUGCUUUUAGAUGACUAAAUGCCCCUCCCAUGCUGGCUACAGAAUCAGACUUUUAGGUCAGAAGAAUCUGGUACUUAUGGCUGACUUCAACCAAAAAACCAUAUAUGAUCUUUCUUAGAGUCGUUUUUUGUUCUCAGACAUACUCUUUGUUUGAUGAUCAAAGACAUUCUCGAACCUUUCCUGCCCCGUUUCCAUCUAGUCUUGUCUUACUCACUGGCUAUAGUAGAUCUGAUAUUGGCAUUUGCGGAUAUGGUCCAAACACAAGUUUAUUUCCCCCCAAAGAUACGUUCUUCCUCCUUACUAGACUGUGGCACCACCUUUUGACUUGACUCUAAUGUAAAAAGUAAACAUUGCUAUUAUAGUCCCUUCCCUGUGCCUCUUUUAUUCCCAAGUCUUGUCAAAUUCUGCCUCCCCAUAUCUCUCAAAUUCACUUCUUUGUUCUCUCCUUCCUUCCAUGCAAAGCUUUUCCUGAUCGCCAUAGUGGUUAGGUUCUUCCCUGCUUUAAUUAUCUUAGGUUUGCUUACCCAUGUAUACCACCUUCCCCAGUAGGACGAGGACUGCUUCUCUUUUGAAUACCCGGUACCUACAAUGCUUCUUUGCAUGCAGUCUUCCAUCAAUGUGGAGGUCCCAUCACCC
Vombatus ursinus (common wombat) is the source of this 981-nucleotide long non-coding RNA. RefSeq lists it as uncharacterized. The transcript is spliced from 3 exons. NCBI's taxonomy places the organism in Eukaryota, Metazoa, Chordata, Mammalia, Diprotodontia, Vombatidae. The record is from RefSeq and is a predicted model, not a curated record.